GAUGAACGCUAGCGGCAGGCUUAACACAUGCAAGUCGAGGGGUAGAAGUCUUCGGACUUUGAGACCGGCGCACGGGUGCGUAACGCGUAUGCAAUCUACCUUUUACAGAGGGAUAGCCCAGAGAAAUUUGGAUUAAUACCUCAUAGUAUAAUGACCUGGCAUCAGGAUGUUAUUAAAGUCACAACGGUAAAGGAUGAGCA
Molecule: ribosomal RNA, 200 nt
Filed under: uncultured bacterium
Lineage: Bacteria
Description: partial 16S ribosomal RNA
Rfam family: Bacterial small subunit ribosomal RNA
Source: RNAcentral